GAUGAACGCUGGCGGCGUGCCUAAUACAUGCAAGUCGAGCGAACAGACGAGGAGCUUGCUCCUCUGACGUUAGCGGCGGACGGGUGAGUAACACGUGGAUAACCUACCUAUAAGACUGGGAUAACUUCGGGAAACCGGAGCUAAUACCGGAUAAUAUAUUGAACCGCAUGGUUCAAUAGUGAAAGACGGUUUUGCUGUCACUUAUAGAUGGAUCCGCGCCGCAUUAGAUAGUUGGUAAGGUAACGGCUUACCAAGGCAACGAUGCGUAGCCGACCUGAGAGGGAGAUCGGCCACACUGGAACUGAGACACGGUCCAGACUCCCACGGGAGGCAGCAGAAGGGAAUCUUCCGCAAUGGGCGAAAGCCUGACGGAGCAACGCCGCGUGAGUGAUGAAGGUCUUGGGAUCGUAAAGCUCUGUUAUUAGGGAAGAACAAAUGUGUAAGUAACUAUGCACGUCUUGACGGUACCUAAUCAGAAAGCCACGGCUAACUACGUG
Molecule: ribosomal RNA, 497 nt
Filed under: uncultured bacterium
Lineage: Bacteria
Description: partial 16S ribosomal RNA
Rfam family: Bacterial small subunit ribosomal RNA
Source: RNAcentral